This 432-nucleotide ribosomal RNA is filed under the name uncultured bacterium. Its description in RNAcentral is "partial 16S ribosomal RNA". It matches the Rfam family "Bacterial small subunit ribosomal RNA", at positions 29 to 506 of the family's 1533-position model. The record is from RNAcentral.
AACGAACGCUGGCGGCAUGCCUAACACAUGCAAGUCGAACGAGACCUUCGGGUCUAGUGGCGCACGGGUGCGUAACGCGUGGGAACCUGCCCUUAGGUUCGGAAUAACUCCCCGAAAGGGGUGCUAAUACCGGAUAAUGUCUUCGGACCAAAGAUUUAUCGCCUUUGGAUGGGCCCGCGUUGGAUUAGCUAGUUGGUAGGGUAAAAGCCUAUCAAGGCGACGAUCCAUAGCUGGUCUGAGAGGAUGAUCAGCCACACUGGGACUGAGACACGGCCCAGACUCCUACGGGAGGCAGCAGUGGGGAAUAUUGGACAAUGGGCGAAAGCCUGAUCCAGCAAUGCCGCGUGAGUGAUGAAGGCCUUAGGGUUGUAAAGCUCUUUUACCCGGGAUGAUAAUGACAGUACCGGGAGAAUAAGCUCCGGCUAACUCCGU